CGUUCUAGGUAAUUGACCCUUCUCCUUAAAACAUACUUUGAAGAUUUUGAAUGACAUUUUAUUAGAGUAGUUUCCAAAUGCUACCUUACCUAUUUUCCUUUUUUGUUGUUUCUACUAGGUUUAAACUAAAAGGAGAAAUAGCUAUAAAAAUUGUCCUUUAUAUUCUUUGUCAGGCCUUCUGCUCGGUCAAAUCUGAGUUAUGGUAGUUGCUAUAAAUGUCUAGGUUUCAGCUUAAUAUUUGCAUUACAUGCCCGGAGAACUAAUGUUAUGCUUGUACUAAAUUGGAAAAUAACUGGCUACAUUCGUGUGAUGUUUUAUGAAUUUAUUUUUUAAUAAUUCAUGUGUUGUUUCAUUCCUUGGAAUACACUUUCCCCUGAUUUAUUACUCCUGAAGAUGGUUCCAUUUGAAUGCGUGAAAUUACAAAAGCUCAAGAUUGUAGUUUUAGUCAUAGGUCAACCAGGGCACUAUUUCUAAUGAAGGUCAUGUUUCUAUAUGGUUUUUACCGUUCGGUGGUACAUUUAGAUAGUUAGCAUCGUCCGUUGACUAUGUGUUUUGUACCCUGUUGUUCCAGGGUGAGAUUUCCUGUGAUUUUGUGGAAGUAGAUGAUUGAUAGAUACUCGGAGGAGGUAAUUGAUAGAUAUAGACGUCGUGGUUCCUAAUUCUUCAUGUACUAUUUUUCUUCCAGUUUUCUUUUAAUUACAAGCUACCUCUGCCAUUGUAGUCAUUUCUUUAUUUCAUACCAGUCUCUGUUGACUACUAUGUAACCAUGCAUGGGUAGCUUAAAUGGCAUAAGUUCUUAUUCAGUUAGAAAAAGGCAACAAAAACAACCAGGGUAAUCUUGCUCUAGAAAUUGCAUGACAUGUGCUUAUUCUCAUUUGUACAUAUGUGCGAGUUGAGUUCAAGAAAUUCUUGCAAAUGCAUUUUUUGGAUAACAGUCAUCAGCACAUAACCAUUUACUGAUUUAUAUUAAACCCUAUGGAAGCCAAGAUAUAUUCCAGGUUUAGGUUCAUGUCCAAUAUAUCUCAUUUCACGGAAUAUAGAUUUGCUUGGAAGCUAUAUCCUCCCAUGGUCCAUUGUUUUAUGCAUUGUUCAUGUUAACUUGGCUAAGAAGUGUUCAGGGAAGCUUUGAGUUUUGGUUGUUUCAAAAUAAACACAUCAAAGAAGAUGUUAUAUACCUUUUGCCAUUUAGCGGUGCUUAGGGAGUGAACAAGAUCCACUCUAAAAAGCUCCAGCAUCUGUCAACAAAGUUACCAGUGCAAAGCAGAUGGAAAAGAAUAAGGCAUCAAAGAAUGUUGUGCAUGUGCCUCUGCUUCCUCCUGCUACUAAUGAGGUCACAGAUCCAGUUGUUGAUCCUAAAACACAGGAUGUUGGUGGGGUUACUUUAAGGUGCUUGCCCUUUUCCAGAUAUUUUGAAUCAGCUGUUAUGUUUGUUGAUGCGAUUCCAUUCUGUUGUGUUCAACUGUUGGUUGUUUUUGAAGGGGUGUUGAUGCAGAGGAGGGAGGCGAGGAUCCUAGUGCCAGAAAAAGGCAUAAG
Molecule: long non-coding RNA, 1533 nt
Organism: Triticum dicoccoides
Lineage: Eukaryota; Viridiplantae; Streptophyta; Magnoliopsida; Poales; Poaceae
Exons: 3
Source: RefSeq, a predicted model, not a curated record